Long non-coding RNA from Carassius auratus (goldfish), 483 nucleotides. RefSeq lists it as uncharacterized. The transcript has 3 exons. NCBI's taxonomy places the organism in Eukaryota, Metazoa, Chordata, Actinopteri, Cypriniformes, Cyprinidae. The record is from RefSeq and is a predicted model, not a curated record.
GCAGUCGAGGUGGUAACCUAGCAACAGCAGAUCAACCGUUGAGCGCCUGCCGUUGGGAUCAGUAUCUGCACGCUACACCACGAAACAGAUGUAGUCAUUAUUUAUCAGUUUUACAGUUUAGGGAGAUUUUCUGGUAGGUAGUGGUUUCCCCUCACAUCCAUCCUCAGAGGAACUUUGGAGGAGUCUCCCUUUCUGAAACAGCUUUCGGAUGCUCUUCUGUGGACACACGCUGACCACACCUGAAACACAAGGCCUUUCUCAAUCUAGUGAGCUCUAGAGUGAUUGACUGACUUUACACAGCCACCAGGAAAGCUCCCAGGGUUUUUCUCCAGUCUGUUUGGAAAUAGAUGUGUUUACGAAGGAUGAAAUAUUUCAGGAAUGAAAUCAUCGCUGGAUUUACCAAAGUUUGCGCGGUUAGUGACAUCAAAUCUUCGAAAGAUAUUCCGAGUUCUGUUUUGAAACAUUGGCAAGUUAACAAGAUAC